RNAcentral lists this ribosomal RNA (315 nucleotides) under uncultured bacterium. RNAcentral describes it as "bacterial SSU rRNA". It matches the Rfam family "Bacterial small subunit ribosomal RNA", at positions 28 to 334 of the family's 1533-position model. The record is from RNAcentral.
GAUGAACGCUAGCGAUAGGCUUAACACAUGCAAGUCGAGGGGCAGCAUGAACAAAGCUUGCUUUGUUUGAUGGCGACCGGCGCACGGGUGCGUAACACGUAUGCAACUUACCCAUAAAACGGGGAUAACCCGGAGAAAUUCGGACUAAUACCCGAUGGUAUUAAGAGAAGGCAUCUUCAUUUAAUUAAAGAUUUAUCGAUUAUGGAUAGGCAUGCGCAUGAUUAGCUAGUUGGUGAGGUAACGGCUCACCAAGGCGACGAUCAUUAGGGGUUCUGAGAGGAAGGUCCCCCACACUGGUACUGAGAUACGGACCAG